AAUCCCUCUCUCUCCU
RNAcentral lists this transfer RNA (16 nucleotides) under Brassica napus (rape). RNAcentral's name for it is "partial transfer RNA-Ser (UGA)". The record is from RNAcentral. Lineage: Eukaryota; Viridiplantae; Streptophyta; Magnoliopsida; Brassicales; Brassicaceae.